Molecule: small nuclear RNA, 144 nt
Organism: Lemur catta (Ring-tailed lemur)
Lineage: Eukaryota; Metazoa; Chordata; Mammalia; Primates; Lemuridae
Product: U4 spliceosomal RNA
Exons: 1
Source: RefSeq, a predicted model, not a curated record
AGCUUCGUGCAGUGGCAGUAUUGUCACCAAUGAGAUUCAUCUGAGCAGAUUUGUUGCUAAUUGAGAACUUUUCCCAAUAUCCCACACUGAUGGACGACUUGAAAUAUAGUCGGCACUAGCAAUUUUUGGCAGUCUCUAAGGAGA